RNAcentral lists this small RNA (555 nucleotides) under Histoplasma capsulatum var. duboisii H88. RNAcentral's name for it is "Histoplasma capsulatum H88 hypothetical RNA". The record is from RNAcentral. Lineage: Eukaryota; Fungi; Ascomycota; Eurotiomycetes; Onygenales; Ajellomycetaceae.
UGCACUGGCUACCAGGCCAUGGGCCAGAAUCAAAUCCGGCGUGAUGUUGGAACCCGAUAUUAACCCGCGACUAGGCAUUGUCCGACCGGCUGCCUUAGUUAGCCUCCAGGAGGCAGCGUCCAGCCUUACGCCCAAGAUGCGAAAAAUUCGAGACAGAGGCAACGGACAUCCGUUGCUUUGUGUGUUUACUCUCUCACAUACAGGAUAACCCUUCCAGCAAUUCAUCCAGUGUGAUAAGAUAGGGUCUGUCUGCAAUUGAGAUAUGUCAGCUUUGUCUUAAGUCGUUACAGCACAACAUAUAACCCGAAAUUCGAGAUUCGCACUUUUCCUCUACCUUUUUUUUCUAUGAAUGCCUGUACGCGCUUCUGCCAUGGUGUGUGAAGUGCACUGUUUCAUGCAACGUUGGUCGGAAUCUCAGUCAUUGCAAGACCUGAGUUUGAAGGGCCCUGGGAUUCCGCAAACUGCCGCCGGACUGCAUAAAUUGAGCAGAUAGAACCUAGACCGCACAGGGCCAUUUAUCCAUUUUUGACAUCCUACAUAGGGUAGGCAUAUUCC